CCAAUAGCGUAUAUUAAAGUUGUUGCAGUUAAAAAGCUCGUAGUUGAAUUUCGGGGUCAGUGGGUCGGUCGUGCCACUGGUAUGUACUGGCCCUACUGAUUCCUCCUUCUUGAAGAACUGUAAUGCCAUUAAUUUGGUGUUGCAGGGAAACAGGACUGUUACUUUGAAAAAAUUAGAGUGUUUAAAGCAGGCAAUCGCUUGAAUACAUUAGCAUGGAAUAAUGAAAUAGGACGUUCGAUCCUAUUUUGUUGGUUUCUAGGGUUGACGUAAUGAUUAAUAGGGAUAGUUGGGGGCAUUAGUAUUCAAUUGUCAGAGGUGAAAUUCUUGGAUUUAUUGAAGACUAACUACUGCGAAAGCAUUUGCCAAGGAUGUUUUCAUUAAUCAAGAACGAAAGUUAGGGGAUCGAAGACGAUCAGAUACCGUCGUAGUCUUAACCAUAAACUAUGCCGACUAGGGAUCGGAUGAUGUUAAUUUUUUAAUGACUCAUUCGGCGCCUUACG
Molecule: ribosomal RNA, 500 nt
Filed under: uncultured Glomeromycotina
Lineage: Eukaryota; Fungi; Glomeromycota
Description: partial small subunit ribosomal RNA
Rfam family: Eukaryotic small subunit ribosomal RNA
Source: RNAcentral